This is a small nuclear RNA of Neltuma alba, 162 nucleotides long. RefSeq annotates it as U1 spliceosomal RNA. The record is from RefSeq and is a predicted model, not a curated record. Lineage: Eukaryota; Viridiplantae; Streptophyta; Magnoliopsida; Fabales; Fabaceae. The transcript has a single exon.
UUACAUACCUGGACGGAGCCAAUGGGUGAUCAAGAAGGCCCAUGGCUUAGGUUGGUGACCUCCAUUGCACGUAUGGGAGGGGCGCCACCCUAAGGUCUCCCCAAGUGGGAGAGCCUACGUCGUAAUUUGUGGCAGUGGGGCCUGCAUUCGUGCGGCCCCUCC